AUACGGUCAGACUCCAGAAAAACAAAACAAAAUGAGCUGCAAACACUCACCGAGUUCUGAUAGACUGUGGAUCGCCAGCAUCUACACAACAACCAGCUUUGAAGCCCUGCGGCAGCACCAGCUGCAGGUUGAUGACCAGCAAACACACUCUGAAGAACUCUUCAUGCAUUUAUUUCUGAGCCACAAACACCUGCAGGGCAGCAGGGAUCCUCCUCCACACUCCUGACAGGGUGGCCGGGCAGAAGCUUGGUGGUCCGGGAGGGGCUCAGAGUAGAGCCGCUGCUCCUCCACAUCCAGAGGAGCCAGAUGAGGUGGCUCGGUCAUCUGGUCAGGAUGCCUC
Molecule: long non-coding RNA, 340 nt
Organism: Melanotaenia boesemani (Boeseman's rainbowfish)
Lineage: Eukaryota; Metazoa; Chordata; Actinopteri; Atheriniformes; Melanotaeniidae
Exons: 3
Source: RefSeq, a predicted model, not a curated record